GACGAACGCUGGCGGCGUGCCUAACACAUGCAAGUCGAACGAGACCUUCGGGUCUAGUGGCGCACGGGUGCGUAGCGCGUGGGAACCUGCCCUUGGGUUCGGAAUAACUCCCCGACAGGGGUGCUAAUACCGGAUCAUGUCUUCGGACCAAAGAUUUAUCGCCUUUGGAUGGGCGCGCGUUGGAUUAGCUAGUUGGUAGGGUAAAAGCAUACCAAGGCGACGAUCCAUAGCUUGUCUGUGAGGAUGGGCACCCACACUGAGACUGAGAACCGGCCCAGACUCCUACGGGAUGCAGGAGUGGGGAAUAUAGGACAAUGGGCGGAGGCAUGAAGCAGCAAUGACGCGUGAGUGAUGAAGGUCUUAGGGUUGUAAAGCGCAUUUACCCGGGAUGAUAAUGACAGUACCGGGAGAAUAAGCUACGGCUAACUACGUG
Molecule: ribosomal RNA, 433 nt
Filed under: uncultured bacterium
Lineage: Bacteria
Description: partial 16S ribosomal RNA
Rfam family: Bacterial small subunit ribosomal RNA
Source: RNAcentral